This 253-nucleotide ribosomal RNA is filed under the name uncultured prokaryote. RNAcentral's name for it is "partial 16S ribosomal RNA". It matches the Rfam family "Bacterial small subunit ribosomal RNA", at positions 525 to 777 of the family's 1533-position model. The record is from RNAcentral.
ACGAAGGGUGCAAGCGUUACUCGGAAUUACUGGGCGUAAAGCGUGCGUAGGUGGUUCGUUAAGUCUGAUGUGAAAGCCCUGGGCUCAACCUGGGAAUGGCAUUGGAUACUGGCGACCUAGAGUGCGGUAGAGGGGUGUGGAAUUCCCGGUGUAGCAGUGAAAUGCGCGGAUAUCAGGAGGAACACCGAUGGCGAAGGCAGGUCUCUGGGCCACUACUGACGCUGAGAAGCGAAAGCAUGGGGAGCGAACAGGA